Molecule: non-coding RNA, 112 nt
Filed under: unclassified sequences
Description: purD.2008-01-16 RNA
Rfam family: purD RNA motif
Source: RNAcentral
GUAAAUAUGUGGUGUGCAGCGUUUGCUUUUAGCAUUUUCGCUCCUAAAACAUAGUUCUUAUGUGCUAGUGUUGGCUUUUAGGGCCAGUUAGAUGGUUAACGGCUACUUGGAA